This 607-nucleotide ribosomal RNA is filed under the name Hydroscaphidae sp. BMNH703455. Its description in RNAcentral is "partial 16S ribosomal RNA". The stretch from base 358 to 517 matches the Rfam family "Bacterial large subunit ribosomal RNA", at positions 2473 to 2632 of the family's 2925-position model. The record is from RNAcentral. Lineage: Eukaryota; Metazoa; Arthropoda; Insecta; Coleoptera; Hydroscaphidae.
AUUCGAAGGGCCGCGGUAUUUUGACCGUGCGAAGGUAGCGUAAUCAUUAGUUUUUUUAUUAAAAGCUUGUAUGAAUGGUUGGACGAGAUAAUUACUGUCUCAGUAAUAAUUUAAUUGAAUUUAAUUUUUGAGUUAAAAAGCUUAAAUAUUUUUUAAAGACGAGAAGACCCUAUAAAUCUUGAUAAUUAAAUUUAAAAAAGAAUUUAUAGAAAUGAAAAUUAAUUUUUUAUUUUUUUUUAUUUUUAUAUUAUUGUAUUGGGGUGAUAUUAAAAUUUAAUUAACUUUUAUUUAUUAAAACUAUUUAUUUAUAAAAAAUUUGAUCCAAUAUUAUUGAUUAAAAGAUUAAGUUACUUUAGGGAUAACAGCGUAAUUUUUUUAAAGAGUUCUUAUCGAUAAAAAAGAUUGCGACCUCGAUGUUGGAUUAAAGAUUAAUUUUGGCGCAAAAGUUAAAAAUAUUAAGUCUGUUCGACUUUUAAAUCUUUACAUGAUCUGAGUUCAGACCGGCGUAAGCCAGGUCGGUUUCUAUCUUAAAAUAUAUAAAUAAAUUUUAGUACGAAAGGACCAAAUUUUAAAUAAAUUAUUUAUUUUUUGAAUAUUAUUAUUAUUU